UACGUAGGGAGCAAGCGUUGUCCGGAAUCAUUGGGCGUAAAGCGCGCGUAGGCGGCCCGAUAAGUCCGUUGUGAAAGUCAAAGGCUCAACCUUUGAAUGCCGAUGGAUACUGUCGGGCUAGAGUCCGGAAGAGGCGAGUGGGAAUUCCUGGUGUAGCGGGUGGAAUGACGCAGAUAUCAGGAGGAACACCAAUAGCGAAGGCAGCUCGCUGGGACGGUACUGACGCUAAGGCGCGAAAGCGUGGGGAGCGAACGAGGA
RNAcentral lists this ribosomal RNA (258 nucleotides) under uncultured bacterium. Its description in RNAcentral is "partial 16S ribosomal RNA". It matches the Rfam family "Bacterial small subunit ribosomal RNA", at positions 524 to 778 of the family's 1533-position model. The record is from RNAcentral.